RNAcentral lists this ribosomal RNA (2929 nucleotides) under Escherichia coli. RNAcentral's name for it is "23S ribosomal RNA". It matches the Rfam family "Bacterial large subunit ribosomal RNA". The record is from RNAcentral. Lineage: Bacteria; Pseudomonadati; Pseudomonadota; Gammaproteobacteria; Enterobacterales; Enterobacteriaceae.
GGGUUGUGAGGUUAAGCGACUAAGCGUACACGGUGGAUGCCCUGGCAGUCAGAGGCGAUGAAGGACGUGCUAAUCUGCGAUAAGCGUCGGUAAGGUGAUAUGAACCGUUAUAACCGGCGAUUUCCGAAUGGGGAAACCCAGUGUGAUUCGUCACACUAUCAUUAACUGAAUCCAUAGGUUAAUGAGGCGAACCGGGGGAACUGAAACAUCUAAGUACCCCGAGGAAAAGAAAUCAACCGAGAUUCCCCCAGUAGCGGCGAGCGAACGGGGAGCAGCCCAGAGCCUGAAUCAGUGUGUGUGUUAGUGGAAGCGUCUGGAAAGGCGCGCGAUACAGGGUGACAGCCCCGUACACAAAAAUGCACAUAUUGUGAGCUCGAUGAGUAGGGCGGGACACGUGGUAUCCUGUCUGAAUAUGGGGGGACCAUCCUCCAAGGCUAAAUACUCCUGACUGACCGAUAGUGAACCAGUACCGUGAGGGAAAGGCGAAAAGAACCCCGGCGAGGGGAGUGAAAAAGAACCUGAAACCGUGUACGUACAAGCAGUGGGAGCCUCUUUUAUGGGGUGACUGCGUACCUUUUGUAUAAUGGGUCAGCGACUUAUAUUCUGUAGCAAGGUUAACCGAAUAGGGGAGCCGAAGGGAAACCGAGUCUUAACUGGGCGUUAAGUUGCAGGGUAUAGACCCGAAACCCGGUGAUCUAGCCAUGGGCAGGUUGAAGGUUGGGUAACACUAACUGGAGGACCGAACCGACUAAUGUUGAAAAAUUAGCGGAUGACUUGUGGCUGGGGGUGAAAGGCCAAUCAAACCGGGAGAUAGCUGGUUCUCCCCGAAAGCUAUUUAGGUAGCGCCUCGUGAAUUCAUCUCCGGGGGUAGAGCACUGUUUCGGCAAGGGGGUCAUCCCGACUUACCAACCCGAUGCAAACUGCGAAUACCGGAGAAUGUUAUCACGGGAGACACACGGCGGGUGCUAACGUCCGUCGUGAAGAGGGAAACAACCCAGACCGCCAGCUAAGGUCCCAAAGUCAUGGUUAAGUGGGAAACGAUGUGGGAAGGCCCAGACAGCCAGGAUGUUGGCUUAGAAGCAGCCAUCAUUUAAAGAAAGCGUAAUAGCUCACUGGUCGAGUCGGCCUGCGCGGAAGAUGUAACGGGGCUAAACCAUGCACCGAAGCUGCGGCAGCGACACUAUGUGUUGUUGGGUAGGGGAGCGUUCUGUAAGCCUGUGAAGGUGUGCUGUGAGGCAUGCUGGAGGUAUCAGAAGUGCGAAUGCUGACAUAAGUAACGAUAAAGCGGGUGAAAAGCCCGCUCGCCGGAAGACCAAGGGUUCCUGUCCAACGUUAAUCGGGGCAGGGUGAGUCGACCCCUAAGGCGAGGCCGAAAGGCGUAGUCGAUGGGAAACAGGUUAAUAUUCCUGUACUUGGUGUUACUGCGAAGGGGGGACGGAGAAGGCUAUGUUGGCCGGGCGACGGUUGUCCCGGUUUAAGCGUGUAGGCUGGUUUUCCAGGCAAAUCCGGAAAAUCAAGGCUGAGGCGUGAUGACGAGGCACUACGGUGCUGAAGCAACAAAUGCCCUGCUUCCAGGAAAAGCCUCUAAGCAUCAGGUAACAUCAAAUCGUACCCCAAACCGACACAGGUGGUCAGGUAGAGAAUACCAAGGCGCUUGAGAGAACUCGGGUGAAGGAACUAGGCAAAAUGGUGCCGUAACUUCGGGAGAAGGCACGCUGAUAUGUAGGUGAAGUCCCUCGCGGAUGGAGCUGAAAUCAGUCGAAGAUACCAGCUGGCUGCAACUGUUUAUUAAAAACACAGCACUGUGCAAACACGAAAGUGGACGUAUACGGUGUGACGCCUGCCCGGUGCCGGAAGGUUAAUUGAUGGGGUCAGCGCAAGCGAAGCUCUUGAUCGAAGCCCCGGUAAACGGCGGCCGUAACUAUAACGGUCCUAAGGUAGCGAAAUUCCUUGUCGGGUAAGUUCCGACCUGCACGAAUGGCGUAAUGAUGGCCAGGCUGUCUCCACCCGAGACUCAGUGAAAUUGAACUCGCUGUGAAGAUGCAGUGUACCCGCGGCAAGACGGAAAGACCCCGUGAACCUUUACUAUAGCUUGACACUGAACAUUGAGCCUUGAUGUGUAGGAUAGGUGGGAGGCUUUGAAGUGUGGACGCCAGUCUGCAUGGAGCCGACCUUGAAAUACCACCCUUUAAUGUUUGAUGUUCUAACGUUGACCCGUAAUCCGGGUUGCGGACAGUGUCUGGUGGGUAGUUUGACUGGGGCGGUCUCCUCCUAAAGAGUAACGGAGGAGCACGAAGGUUGGCUAAUCCUGGUCGGACAUCAGGAGGUUAGUGCAAUGGCAUAAGCCAGCUUGACUGCGAGCGUGACGGCGCGAGCAGGUGCGAAAGCAGGUCAUAGUGAUCCGGUGGUUCUGAAUGGAAGGGCCAUCGCUCAACGGAUAAAAGGUACUCCGGGGAUAACAGGCUGAUACCGCCCAAGAGUUCAUAUCGACGGCGGUGUUUGGCACCUCGAUGUCGGCUCAUCACAUCCUGGGGCUGAAGUAGGUCCCAAGGGUAUGGCUGUUCGCCAUUUAAAGUGGUACGCGAGCUGGGUUUAGAACGUCGUGAGACAGUUCGGUCCCUAUCUGCCGUGGGCGCUGGAGAACUGAGGGGGGCUGCUCCUAGUACGAGAGGACCGGAGUGGACGCAUCACUGGUGUUCGGGUUGUCAUGCCAAUGGCACUGCCCGGUAGCUAAAUGCGGAAGAGAUAAGUGCUGAAAGCAUCUAAGCACGAAACUUGCCCCGAGAUGAGUUCUCCCUGACUCCUUGAGAGUCCUGAAGGAACGUUGAAGACGACGACGUUGAUAGGCCGGGUGUGUAAGCGCAGCGAUGCGUUGAGCUAACCGGUACUAAUGAACCGUGAGGCUUAACCUUACAACGCCGAAGCUGUU